AACGGUAACAGGUAAGUACUUGUACUUAUGCUGACGAGUGGCGGACGGGUGAGUAAUGCUUGGGGAUCUGGCUUAUGGAGGGGGAUAACGACGGGAAACUGUCGCUAAUACCGCGUAGAAUCGGGAGAUGAAAGUGUGGGACCUUCGGGCCACAUGCCAUAGGAUGAACCCAAGUGGGAUUAGGUAGUUGGUGGGGUAAUGGCCUACCAAGCCGACGAUCUCUAGCUGGUCUGAGAGGAUGACCAGCCACACCGGGACUGAGACACGGCCCGGACUCCUACGGGAGGCAGCAGUGGGGAAUAUUGCGCAAUGGGGGCAACCCUGACGCAGCCAUGCCGCGUGAAUGAAGAAGGCCUUCGGGUUGUAAAGUUCUUUCGGUGACGAGGAAGGUUGUUGUGUUAAUAGCGCAACAAAUUGACGUUAAUCACAGAAGAAGCACCGGCUAACUCCGUGCCAGCAGCCGCGGUAAUACGGAGGGUGCGAGCGUUAAUCGGAAUAACUGGGCGUAAAGGGCACGCAGGCGGACUUUUAAGUGAGGUGUGAAAU
Molecule: ribosomal RNA, 546 nt
Filed under: Aggregatibacter aphrophilus
Lineage: Bacteria; Pseudomonadati; Pseudomonadota; Gammaproteobacteria; Pasteurellales; Pasteurellaceae
Description: bacterial SSU rRNA
Rfam family: Bacterial small subunit ribosomal RNA
Source: RNAcentral